AGUGAACGCUGGCGGUAGGCCUAACACAUGCAAGUCGAACGGCAGCACAGUAAGAGCUUGCCCUUACGGGUGGCGAGUGGCGGACGGGUGAGGAAUACAUCGGAAUCUACUUUUUCGUGGGGGAUAACGUAGGGAAACUUACGCUAAUACCGCAUACGACCUACGGGUGAAAGCAGGGGAUCUUCGGACCUUGCGCGAUUGAAUGAGCCGAUGUCGGAUUAGCUAGUUGGCGGGGUAAAGGCCCACCAAGGCGACGAUCCGUAGCUGGUCUGAGAGGAUGAUCAGCCACACUGGAACUGAGACACGGUCCAGACUCCUACGGGAGGCAGCAGUGGGGAAUAUUGGACAAUGGGCGCAAGCCUGAUCCAGCCAUACCGCGUGGGUGAAGAAGGCCUUCGGGUUGUAAAGCCCUUUUGUUGGGAAAGGAAAGCAGCAGGUUAAUACCCCGCUGUUCUGACGGUACCCAAAGAAUAAGCACCGGCUAACUUCGUG
RNAcentral lists this ribosomal RNA (492 nucleotides) under uncultured bacterium. RNAcentral describes it as "partial 16S ribosomal RNA". It matches the Rfam family "Bacterial small subunit ribosomal RNA", at positions 29 to 507 of the family's 1533-position model. The record is from RNAcentral.